Molecule: microRNA, 22 nt
Filed under: Melibe leonina
Lineage: Eukaryota; Metazoa; Mollusca; Gastropoda; Nudibranchia; Dendronotidae
Description: mle-miR-12098-3p
Source: miRBase by way of RNAcentral
UGUCCGAUCUACAAACCCGCGU